Molecule: long non-coding RNA, 1803 nt
Filed under: Eurytemora carolleeae
Lineage: Eukaryota; Metazoa; Arthropoda; Copepoda; Calanoida; Temoridae
Description: uncharacterized LOC111706729
Source: RNAcentral
AAUUAGACAGAUUUAAUCUGAUCUAUAACAGACAGAUUUAAUCUGAUCCAUAACAGACAGAUUUUGUCUAAUAUAUAGCAGACAGAUUUCAUCUGAUCUUUAACAGACAGAUUUCAUCUGAUCUAUAAUAGACAGAUUUCAUCUGAUCUAUUACAGACAGAUUUCAUCUGAUCUAUAACAGACAGAUUUCAUCUGAUAUAUAACAAUCCGAUUUAAUCUGAUCUAUAACAGACAGAAUUAAUCUGAUCUAUAACAGACAGAUUUCAUCUGAUCUAUAACAGACAGAUUUCAUCUGAUCUGUAACAGACAGAUUUUGUCUAAUAUAUAGCAGACAGAUUUUGUCUUAUAUGUAGCUGACUGAUUUUGUCUUAUCUGUAGCUGACUGAUUUUGUCUUAUCUGUAGCAGACAGAUUAAUUUCUAUUUGUAGCAGACAGAUGUUGUCUUAUCUGUAGCAGACAGAUUAAAUUCUAUCUGUAGCAGACGGAUUACAUUCUAUCUGUAACAGACAGAUUUUGUCCUAUCAGUAGCAGACAGAUUAAAUUCUAUCUGUACCAGACAGAUAAAAUUUUAUCUGUAGCAGACGGAUUAAAUUCUAUCUGUAGUAGACAGAUUUUGUCUUAUCAGUAGCGGACAGAUUAAAUUCUCUCUGUAGCAGACAGAUUUUGUCUUAUCUGUAGAAGACAUUAAAUUCUACCUGUGGCAGACGGAUUAAAUUAUAUCUGUAGCAGACAGAUUAAAUUCUAUCUGUAGCAGACAGAUUAAAUUCUAUCUGUAGCAGACAGAUUAAAUUCUAUCUGUAGCAGACGGAUUAAAUUCUAUCUGUAGCAGACGGAUUAAAUUCUAUCUGUAGCAGACAGAUUAAAUUCUAUCUGUAGCAGACAGAUUUUGUCUAAUCUGUAGCAGACAGAUUAAAUUCUAUCUGUAGCAGACAGAUUUAAUUCUAUCCGUAGCAGACAGAUUAAAUUCUAUCUGUAGCAGACAGAUUAAAUUCUAUCUGUAGCAGACAGAUUAAAUUCUAUCUGUAACAGAAAUAUUUAAUCUAUGCUUUUUCUUAACGUUAGUCGACAGAUUAUUUUUGAACGUUUGACAAUUGAUUGGACUGUAAAAGCAUUUCUGCAGGGUUGUUAAACCUCUACUUUUAACAAAAUAAAUUAUAAAUUGAAAAAGAUUUUUAAAAUUCAAGGUCCUAAUCAUUUUGAAUCAUUUGAACAACGCCUAAAAUUGCUUAUUAUCGAUCUCAAACAAAAUGAAUUAAAAAAAAAAUAAAAAUAGUUUAACUUGAUUUCAACUUUUAUACUCACUCAUUCCAUAGUUUGCGUUUUAUGCAAUAAAAGCUUACAUUUUUUAAUAUUAUACAGAUAUUAUUAUUUUAGUAGUAUUUUUAGUUUAACACAUAGUAUUUUGUUUUAAUCUCAUUUUUACACUUUAAAAAUCUCAUGCAAUCUCUAAGUUUGGAUAUUUGUUAUAUUUCGUUUGUUUUCUUUAAAUUUUACACUUUUUGUAAAUAUGUUAUCAAUUCACUGACUUAUGUCUUAUACAUUUAGUUUUAAAGUGCGAUUUUAAUGGGACUGUCAGAGCAACUUCAAUUAACCUUCCAUCCCUUUAAAUCUUGAAGCAUCGUCAUGUAAUUGCCUUAAUUAUGAUUAAUUAUACGUUAUAUAUGUACGUUGAACAAUGUGCAAUUCAAGGUACACUACACAAUCCAGUUUUGUCCAGUGCAGUACAGUACAGCUACGUAAUGCAGUAUAUUUAGCUAUUGUAAUGCUUAUUUAUUAACAGAAAUAUAUCUCAGAAAAUGUUAA